UAGAUCACACCACCCCCCACGAGGCGGCCCCUAUACGGGCCCGCCUCGUGGGGGGGUGGUGCUCCUGACGAAGGAUGAGCAUAUCCAUGGCAGUGACCUUCGCCUACGAUAGCUGGAGGGGGUCGGUGGGACCCCCCGGUCAUGUGGCUGCAUCGGGGCUCGUGUGCUACCGGAGCAACUAAAGGAUCGUUGGGUAUCGCGCGCAUGAGACGUCCUGCAUCUGGGUAAGACUACCCGCUGAACUUAAGCAUAUCAUUAAGCGGAGGAAAAGAAACUAAACAGGAUUCCCUUAGUAACGGCGAGCGAACCGGGAGUAGCCCAACCGUGCAUCAGACAUCCUCGAUACUAGAGGCCUUCGAGGAUGCUGGGCUGUAGGGUAGGCGUGACUCUGCCAUUAUUACGAGACCAUCCGCACUAGGCGUGAAGUUAGUGGUUGGAAGUCCCCGCCAGAGAGGGUGAUAGCCCCGUAACCCUAGGUGUCGUUGCGAGAGGGUGGGGGGUGCGAGUCACGGCGUGAUUGGAGUCGCUCCCCGCCCUUCUUCUCAUCUGGCGCAGAGUCGCGGUGGAGUAGGGUUGCUUGAGAGUGCAGCCUGAAGGAGGUGGUAGAUCCCAUCUAAGGCUAAAUAUUUACAAGAGACCGAUAGCGAACAAGUACCGCGAGGGAAAGAUGAAACAGUACCCCGGGGAGGGGAUUGAAAAGUGCCUGAAAUCACCAGGGUGGAAGCAUUAGGGGGUGUAGGAAGAAGGGGGGUGAUGCCAAUUAGAGCUCAUCAAGGCCCCUUCCUGGCGGCGAGUCCGGUGACCAUGAGGGUCGGGCACCCAACCCUUUUCGAUUCGAGGAGGGGGGUGCAUCGUCGAGCCCUAGAUUUGCAUCCGUGCUCGACUAACUCGAGAUAAGGAUCAUAGAGGCUUAUAUAAGGGCUCUGAUCAAUCCAUCGCACAGGUUUACGCCCCUUAAUGACCCGUCUUGAAACACGGACCAAGGAGUCUAACACCUGAGCGAGUCAAUGUGCGGUCUAGCCACAUAGGCGGAAGAAACCUGAGAGGUUCCUCGAGGAUGGGUUAGCCAUGACCGUAGCGUUCAUCGGAGGGGGUUACCUCGCAAGGAAUCCCUACCCGGUGAAUCGGUUACAGUGUCGCUCCGGCACCCGGGGAACAACCGAUCAUGGAGAGACAGGCUUGCCUGGAAUGAUUCGGUCUAAGCUCAGUUGUUAGGACCCGAAAGGUGGUGAUCUAUGCCUGAGCAGGGUGAAGCCGGGGGAAACUCCGGUGGAGGCCCGUAGGAUUGCUGACGUGCAAAUCGCUUCUCUGACUUGGGUAUAGUGGCGAAAGACCAAUCGAACCACCUAGUAGCUGGUUCCCUCCGAAGUUUCUCACAGGAUAGCUAGGGCUUAAUCAGUUGCGUCGAGUAAAGAUACUGGUUGAGGUGGGGGGGGAUGCGAAGGUCCUCCCCCCUUCUCACAAACUCAGAAUCGAUGCUACCCCUCCCCCUUGCUUGAUUGAAGGGGGGGUCGGAAUGAGAGCCCUAAGUGGGCCGGUUUUGGUAAGCAGAAUUGGCGAUGCGGGAUGAACCGAGUGUCGAGUUAAAGUGUCGAACUGUAUGCUAACCUAGAUCCCAGAAAGGGUGUCAUCUGAUAUAGACAGCAGGGCGGUGGCCAUAGAAGUGGGAAUCCGCUAAGGAGUGUGUUAUAACUCACCUGCCGAACCAGGUGGCCCCGAAAAUGGAUGACGCUCAAGCAUAUGACUUACACUCGACCGUGCGCACGAGCGGCGUGUGCAUGGGUAGGAGGGCGUAGAGGCAGCGCCGAAGCCUUGGGCGUGAGCCUGGGUGGAGUGGUCUCUAGUGCAGAUCUUGGUGGAAGUAGCAAGUAUUCAAACGAGAACUUUGAAGACUGACGUGGAGAAGGGUUCCGUGUAAACAGCGUUUGGUCACGGGUAAGUCGAUCCUAAGAUCUAGGGUAGAUCCUAUCCAAAGAGAAUCGAAAGGGAAGAGGGUUAAUAUUCCCUCACCUCGGCGGGGUCCGACAGCGGUGACGCGAACGAGCUCACAGACACUCACGCCAAUCCCGGGGAGGGCUCUCGACUCUCCUUAAGUCUCCAGGAACCUUGGAGUAGGGUAAACCUGAGAAAAGGUCAUCGGAGAUGUACAACCCCAUUCAGGAUGAUGGGGUCCGGCGCAUUGGUAUGAGUCCAUGAAAAUGUGAGGGAGUGAUAGGGACUACCCCCGUAGGUCGUACCCAUAACCGCAUCAGGUCUCCAAGGUGAGUAGCCUCUAGUCGAUAGAAAAAAGUGGGUAAGGGAAUUCGGCAAAAUAGAUCUGUAACUUCGGGAUGAGGAUUGGCUCUAAUGGUCAUCCCUAUCGGUGCUGCUGCGGAGGUGCGCAGCUAAGUCUCAGGAAUCAAGUGCCUUUCCAGAGAAUCAUUAUGGUGGUUAGGGAUUACCCACACGACGCGUUGGGUCUCGGGUAGCGGCUGGCAAGGCAGACACGGCCCUGCUGGCGCCCCUCCCCUCGUGGGGUGGGAGUUAUAGUGUGCUAGAGGCUGAGCAACUCUCACCCUCCGGGGCCUGGGCUAUGCUCGUGCUUAUCCGUCUUAAUCCGGGAUCACCUCUGGGGUUCGAUAAGGGGCAUGAGAGGAACGUAACUGGCAUCGGUAGGUGGCGGGCUGAAUUAGAACUGGUGCGGACAAAGGGAAUCCGACUGUCUAAUAAAAACACAGCAUCGUGAUGGUCCUUGCGGAUGUUGACACGAUGUGAAUCCUGCCCAGUGCUCUGAUUGUCAACUUGAAGAGAUUCAAUAAAGCACGGGUAAACGGCGGGAGUAACUAUGACUCUCUUAAGGUAGCGAAAUGCCUUGUCGUCUAAUUAGCGACGUGCAUGAAUGGAUCAACGAGACUCCUACUGUCCCUACCCACUAUCUAGCGAAACCACAGCCAAGGGAACGGGCUUGGAAGAAACAGCGGGGCAAGAAGACCCUGUUGAGCUUGACUCUAUUCUGAAGCUGUUGAGCGACUUUAGAGGUGUAGCAUAGGUGGGAGCUUCGGCGAUACUGAAAUACCACUACUCUCGAGCUCGUUCUGCUAAUCUCGCUAACCCGAUCCAAGACGCCCCGAUCAAUCCCAGGAUGCUUGGGGGCGCGCUACGCGCGUGUAUUAAUGGCUUGUGGUUUGCUUGGCAAUACCUCUAUCGGAAACGAGAGACACCUUCAGAUGGGGAGUUCGGCUGGGGCGGUACACCCGCUAAAAGAUAACGCGGAUGUCCUAUGAUCAGCUCAUCGAGGACGGAAACCUCGUGUAGCGCGCAAGGGUAGAAGCUGAUUUGAUUUCGAUUCUCAGUAGGAAUCUGAACUGCGAAAGCAUGGCCUAGCGAUCCUUUAGCCUUUCUGGAUCUGAAGCUAGAGGUGUCAGAAAAGUUACCACAGGGAUAACUGGUUUGUGGCAGCCAAGCGUUCAGCGACGUUGCUUUUUGAUUCUUCGAUGUCGGCUCUUCCUAUCAUUGUGAAGCAUACGUCACAAAGUGUUGGUUUGUUCACCCACUAACAGGGAACGUGAGCUGGGUUUAGACCGUCGUGAGACAGGUUAGUUUUACCCUACUGUUGUGAGGCUGCGUGAUAGUAAUCGAGUCAAGUACGAGAGGAACGAUUCGAUCGGAUACAUGGUCCUGCACUCGAUGGAGCCGUCGAUGGUGCGAAGCUACAUCCGUAGGUUAAUGACUGAAAGCUUCUAAAGUCAGAAACCUUACUAGAAACCUAGCCAGGCGUGUGCACGUAGGCCUUAACUAUAACCCUCGGUGU
Molecule: ribosomal RNA, 3790 nt
Filed under: Amorphochlora amoebiformis
Lineage: Eukaryota; Cercozoa; Chlorarachniophyceae
Description: eukaryotic LSU rRNA
Rfam family: Eukaryotic large subunit ribosomal RNA
Source: RNAcentral